GUGGGCCUUCUUCUCCUUGGCCAGGGGACCUCGCGCGUGGAAAGAGCUCCCAGACCGCGCUUCUGGAACUUCUCCACGCGGGAAUAAGCAGAAACUUUCCUCCUAAGGGAAGGUUUCAUUUAUUUAUUUAUUUUAGACCUUGAACUACAGGAGAAGGGGGAAAUUUUCUCAUUAAAGUUACAUCCCUGCAGUUAGUUCAAUUACUUGAUAUAUGCAGAAGAUGUUGUAAAUUUAUAGAUUUAAAUAGCUUACAAAGAUGCCGCAGGCCCCAUCAGUUAAUUUCCUUAAUUUAUGGAUUUUUGGCUGCUCCUAGAACAGAAAGGGGCCCUGGAAGUAGGUCAAGGAGCUGUACAGCGGUUCUAGCACAGCCCAUGGGCUGCCCACUCUGCUCCCCACGCCCUGGCACCCCCCGGGCUUCUGGCUCCCAGCUCAGGCCUGACAGCACUACUCUCUGCUCUCUAUAUUUUGGCCAAGCCAGGCCUGGGAGGUCUGCUUUCGUCCGUGGUGACUCCGUCUCCCCAGGGCUGCACUGCCAUGCCAAGGAAGAGCAAAGCCUCCAUCUCCACCCGCCCCUCCCAGCACUGAGGGAAUGGAGCCAGAAGCAAGGGUCCCAACUACUCUGACCUCCUGUGUCCCCCCUAAAAUGGUAGCUGGGAUCCCAAGUGGAGAAGGCCAUGUCUGGAUGCCUCAGGCUUCUUCGGGAUGAAGUUUCUAAGAUUUGCAAGGUACAUGUCAAGGACGGGUGUAUAAAUGGAUUUUUAUUUAUUCACAACUCCAAGACUAAUUGCUUCUCUUUGCCUCAAGGCCACGAGAUGGGUUUUAAUAUGACACUUCAAAAGUAUUCAUGGAACUACAGAGAUACGAAGUGUCAUUGUUUAAGAGACAAAUCUCGCUGUGGUACUGGUGACCCUGCAAAUAGGAUGUUCCAUUUCAUUUUCAAAUCCUCGAUGUUUUUCUAAGAGUUUCACUCUAUACCAACUGUAUUAAAAAUGCACAAUUUCAUUGAAACAAGACCUGACCAUUCUCAAAGACCUUUUAUUUCCUGAAUAUUGCUGGAAACUUUGUUUUCCUAUUCCUGAAACCUUUUAUUAAAGAGCUGAACUUUAUACAUGUCAUUAAGAAGAGUAAGUUUGGGCCAUAAUUUAUCCUCAAGUGUUUUAAAAGUUCCCGGCUAAAUGUCAACCAUCUUUUACACUGAGGGACUCGGAUAUGAGCUGUGAUAGGCAUGUAAUGAUCGGUGGUAUAUAUUGCAGUGCUGAGGCUUUUUGUUUUUUAAUUGAAAGUGGAUAAUUAGGACUGAAGACAUACUGAAACAUCCUGUGAAAAUACAUCUUGUUUCAUUACUAUAGUCCAAGAGACGAAAUUGGAUGUGGGUCUAAUCAGAAUGGCACUUGCUUUAUCAGUAGAUGUGAAUGGCACUGGAGCUAUUCCAGUCCGCCUAUCUUAUUUUUUAAGUUUUAUUGAGGUUUCAUUGACUUACAAGGUUGUGAUCAUUGCUGCUGUACGACAGAGUGAUUCAGUCAGAGCUGGACACAUCCGUUCUCUUUCGUUCCGCACAUGUUAAAAAGCAGGUUCAAACCUGAGGUGGCUUGAGGGGUGCUCUGUGUGAACGCACCUGAAGCGAGUGACGGGUCAGGCCCUGCAUCCAGGUGCUGCGGGCAAGCGCUCAGUCUCUGGAUGUUUCAAAGGGAUUUCCAGUGCGACUUGGUACCUUGUUGUUGUGGCUGUUUGCAGACGGUAUUUCAAGAUGAAGACCUUAAUGAGAAAAGUAAAAUGAGCUCAAAAGGAGGGCCCAGAAUCUGCUGAACUCAACCUUCUCAGAAAGUCUGUGACCAGAGAGCAGGUGAGGAGUUCUCGCUGUGGCUCAGUGGAUGAAGAACCCGACUUGUCUUCGUGAGGACGUGGGUUGGAUCCUCAGCCUUGCUCAGUGGGUUAAGGAUCUGAUAUUGCCACAAGCUG
This 1959-nucleotide long non-coding RNA is filed under the name Sus scrofa (pig). RNAcentral describes it as "lncRNA (ENSSSCG00065053748.1)". Lineage: Eukaryota; Metazoa; Chordata; Mammalia; Artiodactyla; Suidae. The record is from RNAcentral.